CAGACAGCUGCGUGUCGUAA
RNAcentral lists this microRNA (20 nucleotides) under Ciona intestinalis (vase tunicate). Its description in RNAcentral is "cin-miR-4130-3p". Lineage: Eukaryota; Metazoa; Chordata; Ascidiacea; Phlebobranchia; Cionidae. The record is from miRBase by way of RNAcentral.